RNAcentral lists this transfer RNA (108 nucleotides) under Moesziomyces antarcticus. RNAcentral's name for it is "Pseudozyma antarctica tRNA". It matches the Rfam family "tRNA". Rfam says of the family: Transfer RNA (tRNA) molecules are approximately 80 nucleotides in length. Their secondary structure includes four short double-helical elements and three loops (D, anti-codon, and T loops). The record is from Rfam by way of RNAcentral. Lineage: Eukaryota; Fungi; Basidiomycota; Ustilaginomycetes; Ustilaginales; Ustilaginaceae.
GGUUGUAUGGAGUAGUUGGUUAACUUAGGAGAUUCUGAUCGAGCGCCUCUGCAGGUGCCGGGUUCGAUUCGACUUCUCUUGCCCUGGGUUCGAAUCCCAGUACGACCU